RNAcentral lists this long non-coding RNA (251 nucleotides) under Populus trichocarpa (black cottonwood). RNAcentral describes it as "long non-coding RNA (PTRI_LNC003062)". The record is from RNAcentral. Lineage: Eukaryota; Viridiplantae; Streptophyta; Magnoliopsida; Malpighiales; Salicaceae.
UGCUGUCCUAUUCUACAUACCUGGUUCAUCACUAACAUUAGAAUAUAUUAGCGAGCCUUUUUCUUCUUGUUUUGGCAGGAAACAGAUGCGCUGCCAUGUUAAUUUGAAUUGUCAGCUUGCUUGGAUGAACUCUUGUUUUUUUUUGCUACUGAUCUCUUCUGAGAAGAUGUGAUAGACACUUGUGUGGAUGAUAACUUGAGAGUCAAAAAAUGAAAGAUGAAAACCAAUGGAAAGAAUAGUAGUUGUAGCUG